RNAcentral lists this ribosomal RNA (468 nucleotides) under uncultured bacterium. RNAcentral describes it as "partial 16S ribosomal RNA". It matches the Rfam family "Bacterial small subunit ribosomal RNA", at positions 28 to 507 of the family's 1533-position model. The record is from RNAcentral.
GACGAACGCUGGCGGCGUGCUUAACACAUGCAAGUCGAACGGAAAGGCCCUGCUUUUGUGGGGUGCUCGAGUGGCGAACGGGGGAGUAACACGUGAGGAACCUGCCCUUGACUUUGGGAUAACUUCAGGAAACUGGGGCUAAUACCGGAUAGGAGCUCCUGCUGCAUGGUGGGGGUUGGAAAGUUUCGGCGGUUGGGGAUGGACUCGCGGCUUAUCAGCUUGUUGGUGGGGUAGUGGCUUACCAAGGCUUUGACGGAUAGCCGGCCUGAGAGGGUGACCGGCCACAGUGGGACUGAGAUACGGCCCAGACUCCUACGGGAGGCAGCAGUGAGGAAUAUUGCACAAUGGGCGGAAGCCUGAUGCAGCAACGCCGCGUGCGGGAUGACGGCCUUCGGGUUGUAAACCGCUUUCGCCUGUGACGAAGCGUGAGUGACGGUAAUGGGUAAAGAAGCACCGGCUAACUACGUG